GAUGAACGCUGGCGGCGUGCCUAAUACAUGCAAGUCGAGCGAACAGACGAGGAGCUUGCUCCUCUGACGUUAGCGGCGGACGUGUGAGUAACACGUGUAUAACCUACCUAUAAGACUGGGAUAACUUCGGGAAACCGGAGCUAAUACCGGAUAAUAUAUUGAACCGCAUGGUUCAAUAGUGAAAGACGGUUUUUGUGUCACUUAUAGAUGGAUCCCCGCGGCAUUAGCUAGUUGGUAAGGUAAAGGCUUACCAAGGCAAUGAUGCGUAGCCGACCGGAGAGAGUGAUCGGCCACACUGGAGCUGAGACACGGUCCAGACUCCUACGAGAGGCAGCAGUAGGGAAUCUGCCGCAAUGGGCGAAAGCCUGGCGGAGCAACGCCGCGUGAGUGAUGAAGGUGUUGGGAUCGUAAAACUCUGUUAUUAGGGAAGAACAAAUGUGUAAGUAACUAUGCACGUAUUGACGGUACCUAAUCAGAAAGCCACGGCUAACUACGUG
This 497-nucleotide ribosomal RNA is filed under the name uncultured bacterium. RNAcentral describes it as "partial 16S ribosomal RNA". It matches the Rfam family "Bacterial small subunit ribosomal RNA", at positions 28 to 507 of the family's 1533-position model. The record is from RNAcentral.